CUCAACGAGCAAGCGACACGCGACAAUCACAAACUGUCGUUAGAACAUUUCUACAGAUACAGUCGAUUGCGGCUGUUGGUUCUGCGAGAUGUGGCGUUUGGUCUGUCUGCUCCUGUUUCUUGGAGCUUUUGGUGUCAUGGGUUCAAAUUGGAGAUUAAAACUUAUACAUCGGACAAAGCUGACGCAGGAACAGACUCCCGUAUCUAUAUUACUCUCUUUGGAACUCUCGGAUCUUCCGAAGAAAUAGAAUUAGAUAAUCACGAAAACAACUUUGAGAGAGGAAAGAUUGACAGAUUCUUUGUAUCAAUGGACGACAUUGGUGAAGUGUGCUCAGUGCGCAUCAGGUCUGACGAUAGUAAACUUGCUUCUGGCUGGCAUCUCCAAAAGAUUUGGAUUAAAUCAAGAUCAGAAAACAAUUUUUGGUGUAACUGCUGGUUAUCAAAGGAGACUACAUUACAGAGGGAACUCACCCCUGAAUACAAAUGCCACAUGGCGAAGAAAUAAGUAAACUGAUGUGGGUGCAGACUUUGAAUACGGCGUUGACCAACCAGCAUAAAGGUAUUGAAAAUAUCAGACAUCUAAAAUGCAAGGUGAAAAUAAAAAGUUGAACUGCAAA
Molecule: long non-coding RNA, 616 nt
Organism: Pomacea canaliculata
Lineage: Eukaryota; Metazoa; Mollusca; Gastropoda; Architaenioglossa; Ampullariidae
Exons: 4
Source: RefSeq, a predicted model, not a curated record